This 2454-nucleotide long non-coding RNA is filed under the name Takifugu rubripes (torafugu). Its description in RNAcentral is "lncRNA (ENSTRUG00000027966.1)". The record is from RNAcentral. Lineage: Eukaryota; Metazoa; Chordata; Actinopteri; Tetraodontiformes; Tetraodontidae.
CUGUUGAGGUGGAAGGUUGUGACCAGCACCAGUGGCGCCAACACCAGUGGCACCAGCACCAGUGGCAGCAGCACCAGCACCAGUACCAGCACCAGUGGCACCAGAACCAGUACCAGCACCAGUGGCACCAUCACCAGUUGCACCAUCACCAGUUGCACCAUCACCAGUACCAGCACCAGUGGCACCAACACCAGUGGCACCAACACCAGCACCAGUGGCACCAGCACCAGUGGCACCAACACCAGCACCAGCACCAGCACCAGUGGCACCAACACCAGCGGCACCAACACCAGCACCAGUGGCACCAUCACCAGCACCAGUACCAGCACCAGUGGCACCAACACCAGUGGCACCAGCACCAGUGGCACCAUCACCAGUUGCACCAUCACCAGCACCAGUACCAGCACCAGUGGCACCAACACCAGUGGCACCAGCACCAGUGGCACCAGCACCAGUGGCACCAACACCAGUGGCACCAGCACCAGUGGCACCAACACCAGUGGCACCAUCACCAGCACCAGUACCAGCACCAGUUGCACCAUCACCAGCACCAGUACCAGCACCAGUGGCACCAACACCAGUGGCACCAGCACCAGUGGCACCAUCACCAGUGGCACCAACACCAGUGGCACCAGCACCAGUGGCACCAGCACCAGUGGCACCAACACCAGUUGCACCAUCACCAGCACCAGUACCAGCACCAGUGGUACCAUCACCAGUGGCACCAGUACCAGUGGCACCAUCACCAUCACCAGUACCAGCACCAGUGGCACCAUCACCAGUGGCACCAGCACCAGUGGCACCAACACCAGCACCAGCACCAGCACCAGUGGCACCAACACCAGCACCAGUGGCACCAGCACCAGUGGCACCAACACCAGCACCAGCACCAGCACCAGUGGCACCAACACCAGCGGCACCAACACCAGCACCAGUGGCACCAUCACCAGCACCAGUACCAGCACCAGUGGCACCAACACCAGUGGCACCAUCACCAGUUGCACCAUCACCAGCACCAGUAACAGCACCAGUGGCACCAACACCAGUGGCACCAUCACCAGUUGCACCAUCACCAGCACCAGUAACAGCACCAGUGGCACCAGCACCAGUGGCACCAUCACCAGUUGCACCAUCACCAGCACCAGUAACAGCACCAGUGGCACCAACACCAGUGGCACCAGCACCAGUGGCACCAGCACCAGUGGCACCAACACCAGUGGCACCAGCACCAGUGGCACCAACACCAGUGGCACCAUCACCAGCACCAGUACCAGCACCAGUUGCACCAUCACCAGCACCAGUACCAGCACCAGUGGCACCAACACCAGUGGCACCAGCACCAGUGGCACCAUCACCAGUGGCACCAACACCAGUGGCACCAGCACCAGUGGCACCAGCACCAGUGGCACCAACACCAGUUGCACCAUCACCAGCACCAGUACCAGCACCAGUGGUACCAUCACCAGUGGCACCAGUACCAGUGGCACCAUCACCAUCACCAGUACCAGCACCAGUGGCACCAUCACCAGUGGCACCAGCACCAGUGGCACCAACACCAGCACCAGCACCAGCACCAGUGGCACCAACACCAGCGGCACCAACACCAGCACCAGUGGCACCAUCACCAUCACCAGCACCAGUACCAGCACCAGUGGCACCAACACCAGUGGCACCAACACCAGCACCAGUGGCACCAGCACCAGUGGCACCAACACCAGCACCAGUGGCACCAGCACCAGUGGCACCAACACCAGCACCAGUGGCACCAACACCAGAACCAGUACCAGCACCAGUGGCACCAUCACCAGCACCAGCACCAGUGGCACCAACACCAGUGGCACCAACACCAGCACCAGUGGCACCAGCACCAGCACCAGUGGCACCAGCACCAGUGGCACCAACACCAGCACCAGUGGCACCAGCACCAGUGGCACCAACACCAGCACCAGUGGCACCAUCACCAGAACCAGUACCAGCACCAGUGGAACCAUCACCAGUACCAGCACCAGUGGCACCAACACCAGUGGCACCAACACCAGCACCAGUGGCACCAUCACCAGUACCAGUGGCACCAGCACCAGUGGCACCAACACCAGUACCAGCACCAGUGGCACCAACACCAGUGGCACCAUCACCAGUACCAGCACCAGUGGCACCAACAUCAGUGGCACCAACACCAGUGGCACCAUCACCAGUACCAGCACCAGUGGCACCAACACCAGUGGCACCAUCACCAGUACCAGCACCAGUGGCACCAACACCAGUGGCACCAACACCAGUGGCACCAUCACCAGUACCAGCACCAGUGGCACCAUCACCAGUACCAGCACCAGUGGCACCAACACCAGUGGCACCAUCACCAGUACCAGCACCAGUGGCACCAUCACCAGUACCAGCACCAGUGGCACCAACACCAGUGGAACCAUCACCAGUACUAGCACCAGUGGCACCAAC